This 717-nucleotide long non-coding RNA is filed under the name Medicago truncatula (barrel medic). RNAcentral's name for it is "long non-coding RNA (MTRU_LNC008887)". Lineage: Eukaryota; Viridiplantae; Streptophyta; Magnoliopsida; Fabales; Fabaceae. The record is from RNAcentral.
GAGAUAUAAUACAAGUUUUUAUUUUUUUGAAGGAAGAUAAAAUACAAAUAUAUAUAAUAUAUAAUCAAUAACAACUAACAUACUAUCACAAACAAUUGCAUGCUGUAGUGGAAAUUAAGCGAUCAUGUUAUGUGUAUGCCUUGUGGAUAUUAUAUGCACUUACUUUUAAGUUUACAUUCACUAGCACAAUAAGUUAAAGUAUGACCCGUAUUAAUAUUUAAAUGCAUAAAAUAAAAAGGUUGAAAUUUAAAGCCCUUGUUUUCUCUCUCCUUUCACCAUUGUUUGGAUCUUGAAAUGUUGCUUCACCUUGCAUCUAGGAUUCAUGUCCUUUCAACCCAAUUGAUCAUUAAUCUUUUAUCUAACUUGAAGAAAAACACCAGAACAUACACUUAUUUAAUUUCCAUGAACCACGUAAACAACUGGAUGCCUGAACCAUAUUUGUUAACCUUCUCUGUUGUUGUCGUCUCAUUGAGAUCUAGAAACUUCAUGUAUCAUUUUAUUUCAAACUAUUUUUUUUACUUUAAACAAUUGUUUAUAAAAAUCCUAGAUUAAUUUUCAAAUUUGCAUAAAUUGAAUAAUUAACUUUACCUACUUACGAUGAUGACACAUGCUAUAUUAAUUAUGUUUUUAUGAAAAAAUAAGGCAAGUUAGUCACUAAUAAGUAAAAAAUGUUAAGCAAGUAUAAAUAGAAGGGAAAGUAGGAUGAAUUGUUCUCUG